RNAcentral lists this long non-coding RNA (467 nucleotides) under Salvia miltiorrhiza (redroot sage). Its description in RNAcentral is "long non-coding RNA (SMIL_LNC014210)". Lineage: Eukaryota; Viridiplantae; Streptophyta; Magnoliopsida; Lamiales; Lamiaceae. The record is from RNAcentral.
CCUGUGUACACAGUCUAGGUGUAUUGAAUGAUUUAGGCAUUUUCUUUCUUUCAGCCCACUGAGCCAAACUGACCAACCCCACUUUUAUCACUUGCAACCCUUUUGAGCUUAAUAAUUCUUUUGAAUUCACUUAUAAAAUUUGCCUAGAUUUGAGCCAUCCCGGUCAAAAACUAAACUUAAGGGCAAAACAAAAAGAAGGGGAGAAUGGUGUAAUGGAUCCUACGGGCAGGACUAGUGCAAAGAAAAUGCAAAAAUGGGAAAUCUAAAUCCCAAAACAGAGAAAAGUCCUGGAAAAGAAAAAAAGAGAGGAAGAAUAAAGGGAAGAAUGUGCUUAGGCCCGUAAGAAUAGGCAAGGAUCAAAAGAAUUUAGGAAGUUAGUUGCCCAGAGUGAAGUUCAGUAUGACCUUAGCCUCGUACCAAAAAUCCUCACCUUAUGCCUUAAGCCACAUUACAACCCAUGAAAGACC